UUGUCUGUUCAUAUAUUAUUUUCUCCUAAUCCUAAGACUUCUUAAGAUUCUAAUUUUGUUCACUAGGGCCUAUCUCAGGACCUGACACAUAGUAGGCAUUUGACAGAAUAAAUAAAUGGAAGAAAGGAUGGAUGAAAAAAUGAAUAAAUAGUACGAAGAUUGUCCUAUACACCAGAAGGACAUCAUGAAGCAUUCUUAGUACUUCAUUGGUUUGAUUUCACUUUUUUGCUUAUCACUGUGUGUGUUUUCUUGUUUGCCUGGUGUUGCAGACAGAAGAAAGUACAGUCAGUUCUGCUAUAAUGCCACAUAUGUGUUCUAAAAAAAUCGCUGUGCUGUGCAGAAUUACCCGCUAAAAAUCACAGGGUUUACGGGGCAAAUGGAGUUGGGGCAUAACACUCAGAAACUUCACCAGUGACACAUUUAAAAAAAAUAGGAGCCUGAUAAAAAUAGCAGCCCUGUCUUAAACAUAUUUAAUAGUUAAAUGUAUAAGUACUAUAAUAAAAAUGGCACUUGACAUUGAUAAAGAUCUGCAGUUUGCUUGUGGAAGUGGGCGUCAGGAAGACCAUGAGUAAUUGUGAGGUGGUGGGAGGAGAAUCAUCUAAAAUUGGACAGAGUUGGGACGCCAGAUGUGGAUGGGUGUGGAGCCUCAUACUUACAGUGAUCUAAAGUUACUAUGAAUGUUUGAUGUGUAUGUGUGUGUGCAUUUUGUGUAUUACACAGGUUUGUUCAGCUGGGUUUUGGCAUUCACCUAGUGUUUUUCAAGGGGGGAAAUUGUCUUAUAUUCACAUCAUUCCCUAGUAUAAAUUGCAUUAGAACAAAUUCAUAGUUUCAAAACAAGCAUUAUAGCAAAACUAACAGGGUGUUUCGAUAUUUGUAUUUUCCAGCUUAUUAGCUCUCUUUCUGUUUCUGCUCCUUACAAAACACAGGGCUAAAUUAUUUAUGUCCCUUCCCUCCAGUUAUCCAUGCUUUCAACAAGUGCCUAUUGAACAUCUACUAAAUGCUAAAACUAGAAACACAAGGACAAAGUACAGAUGGUCUCUAAUUUCACAGAGUUUACAAUCUCAAGACAGAGCAAAUAUGAAGCAAGGUAUUUGCGUAGUAGAUGUUGAUGGUGGUUGUUGACUGGGGUCCCAGCUGGGGCCAUUGCUGGACUACCUACAUGU
RNAcentral lists this long non-coding RNA (1163 nucleotides) under Papio anubis (olive baboon). RNAcentral's name for it is "lncRNA (ENSPANG00000046823.1)". Lineage: Eukaryota; Metazoa; Chordata; Mammalia; Primates; Cercopithecidae. The record is from RNAcentral.